UACGUAGGGGGCGAGCGUUAUCCGGAAUUAUUGGGCGUAAAGAGUACGUAGGCGGGAAAUUAAGCGCAGGGUUUAAGGCAAAGGCUUAACCAUUGUUCGCCCUGUGAACUGAUUUUCCUGAGUGCAGGAGGGGAAAGCGGAAUUCCUAGUGUAGCGGUGAAAUGCGUAGAUAUUAGGAGGAACACCAGUGGCGAAGGCGGCUUUCUGGACUGUAACUGACGCUGAGGUGCGAAAGUGUGGGGAGCAAACAGG
RNAcentral lists this ribosomal RNA (252 nucleotides) under uncultured Eubacteriales bacterium. RNAcentral's name for it is "uncultured Clostridiales bacterium partial 16S ribosomal RNA". It matches the Rfam family "Bacterial small subunit ribosomal RNA", at positions 524 to 776 of the family's 1533-position model. Lineage: Bacteria; Bacillati; Bacillota; Clostridia; Eubacteriales. The record is from RNAcentral.